Molecule: ribosomal RNA, 461 nt
Filed under: uncultured Aquabacterium sp.
Lineage: Bacteria; Pseudomonadati; Pseudomonadota; Betaproteobacteria; Burkholderiales; Sphaerotilaceae
Description: bacterial SSU rRNA
Rfam family: Bacterial small subunit ribosomal RNA
Source: RNAcentral
CAUCGGAACGUGCCCAAUUGUGGGGGAUAGCCCGGCGAAAGCCGGAUUAAUACCGCAUACGACUCAUGAGUGAAAGCGGGGGAUCGCAAGACCUCGCGCAAUUGGAGCGGCUGAUGUCAGAUUAGCUAGUUGGUGGGGUAAAGGCCUACCAAGGCGACGAUCUGUAGCUGGUCUGAGAGGACGACCAGCCACACUGGGACUGAGACACGGCCCAGACUCCUACGGGAGGCAGCAGUGGGGAAUUUUGGACAAUGGGCGAAAGCCUGAUCCAGCCAUGCCGCGUGCGGGAAGAAGGCCUUCGGGUUGUAAACCGCUUUUGUCAGGAAAGAAAAGCUUUGAGCUAAUAUCUCAGAGUAAUGACGGUACCUGAAGAAUAAGCACCGGCUAACUACGUGCCAGCAGCCGCGGUAAUACGUANGGUGCAAGCGUUAAUCGGAAUUACUGGGCGUAAAGCGUGCGUA